Molecule: long non-coding RNA, 147 nt
Organism: Rhodamnia argentea
Lineage: Eukaryota; Viridiplantae; Streptophyta; Magnoliopsida; Myrtales; Myrtaceae
Exons: 3
Source: RefSeq, a predicted model, not a curated record
AUUUAUCAAAAACAGGCUAUUCAUUCUUUAAGUUUUGGAACAGCAUCAUGCUGUGACCUUUGUCAAUGCCUCACUAAAAGCAUAGAUUCGUUUUAGGCCAAAAAAGUAUUAGAUUGGUUACGUCAGCUUCAUAAACAACAUCACCAC